UACAGAGGUCUCAAGCGUUGUUCGGAUUCAUUGGGCGUAAAGGGUGCGUAGGUGGCGAGGUUAGUCAGGUGUGAAAUCUCGGGGCUCAACCCCGAAACUGCACUUGAUACUGCCUUGCUAGAGUACUGGAGAGGAGAUUGGAAUUUACGGUGUAGCAGUGAAAUGCGUAGAUAUCGUGAGGAAGACCAGUGGCGAAGGCGAAUCUCUGGACAGUUACUGACACUGAGGCACGAAGGCCAGGGGAGCAAACGGG
Molecule: ribosomal RNA, 253 nt
Filed under: uncultured bacterium
Lineage: Bacteria
Description: partial 16S ribosomal RNA
Rfam family: Bacterial small subunit ribosomal RNA
Source: RNAcentral